Molecule: long non-coding RNA, 412 nt
Organism: Selaginella moellendorffii
Lineage: Eukaryota; Viridiplantae; Streptophyta; Lycopodiopsida; Selaginellales; Selaginellaceae
Exons: 2
Source: RefSeq, a predicted model, not a curated record
CAACAGGAAAGGCUUAAGGUACUUUUUGUUUCCGCUUUGCUUUAUGUGACGUGGGGGGAGGCAUGCGUAGCUUGCACGCUAUUCAGAUGAUGGCUGCCGGGAACGAAUAUCCUCGACUCGCUCGAGCUGCGAGAAGAGAUUUCUGAAAAAACGGCCCUCGCUUUGGAAUGAGGCCUUUGAAUCUUCUCUGCGUCGCACGCAGCGCGCACACAGAUGGCAAAAGAGGGAAAGAUUUUUAUAUAAAGUCGACAAGCGCGCUUGCAAGCGAGAUAAAAAAAAAGAGGAAGGAGAAGGCAGAAAAACAAAGAAAAAGAGUGAGUGAGUGAAGCACGCACUCUUGCUUAUCUCACUCUGUUGUGGCCCGUUAUAUGGCAAAGGUGUCAGGGAAAACUUAUCCAAGGAUUAAAAACCA